RNAcentral lists this ribosomal RNA (659 nucleotides) under Pseudomonas sp. Its description in RNAcentral is "bacterial SSU rRNA". It matches the Rfam family "Bacterial small subunit ribosomal RNA", at positions 72 to 727 of the family's 1533-position model. The record is from RNAcentral. Lineage: Bacteria; Pseudomonadati; Pseudomonadota; Gammaproteobacteria; Pseudomonadales; Pseudomonadaceae.
AGAGAAGCUUGCUUCUCUUGAGAGCGGCGGACGGGUGAGUAAUGCCUAGGAAUCUGCCUGGUAGUGGGGGAUAACGUUCGGAAACGGACGCUAAUACCGCAUACGUCCUACGGGAGAAAGCAGGGGACCUUCGGGCCUUGCGCUAUCAGAUGAGCCUAGGUCGGAUUAGCUAGUUGGUGAGGUAAUGGCUCACCAAGGCGACGAUCCGUAACUGGUCUGAGAGGAUGAUCAGUCACACUGGAACUGAGACACGGUCCAGACUCCUACGGGAGGCAGCAGUGGGGAAUAUUGGACAAUGGGCGAAAGCCUGAUCCAGCCAUGCCGCGUGUGUGAAGAAGGUCUUCGGAUUGUAAAGCACUUUAAGUUGGGAGGAAGGGCCGUUACCUAAUACGUGAUGGUUUUGACGUUACCGACAGAAUAAGCACCGGCUAACUCUGUGCCAGCAGCCGCGGUAAUACAGAGGGUGCAAGCGUUAAUCGGAAUUACUGGGCGUAAAGCGCGCGUAGGUGGUUAGUUAAGUUGGAUGUGAAAUCCCCGGGCUCAACCUGGGAACUGCAUUCAAAACUGACUGACUAGAGUAUGGUAGAGGGUGGUGGAAUUUCCUGUGUAGCGGUGAAAUGCGUAGAUAUAGGAAGGAACACCAGUGGCGAAGGCGACCA